UACAAGACUGUGCAAGUAGUCUGUUUCUGCCUUUAGUAUUCUAGGAUACAGCAGCUUUUGGUUUCAUCUGUACAAAGUUUUGUCUUCUGUGUUAAGUGGAAGGGCUGCUUCAUCUUAUUUUAAGCCCAGUUGGGUCUUGGCCAUGUAGCACGGAUGCAGUUGGUGGAUCACAGUGGUAUGAGGAGUAUUGCUGUUGUUGGUUAUCCAUAUGAGUGGUAAAUAUUGGCGUCUCCAGAGAAAAUCAUAUCGAGAC
Molecule: long non-coding RNA, 253 nt
Filed under: Salvator merianae (Argentine black and white tegu)
Lineage: Eukaryota; Metazoa; Chordata; Lepidosauria; Squamata; Teiidae
Description: lncRNA (ENSSMRG00000012698.1)
Source: RNAcentral